Lycium ferocissimum is the source of this 1857-nucleotide long non-coding RNA. RefSeq lists it as uncharacterized. NCBI's taxonomy places the organism in Eukaryota, Viridiplantae, Streptophyta, Magnoliopsida, Solanales, Solanaceae. The transcript is spliced from 2 exons. The record is from RefSeq and is a predicted model, not a curated record.
GUGCUACCUCCGAUAAAUAUAUUUGAGCUAACAUCAUCAACACACACUAUUGAACCUUGGUUGGUAUAUAUUAACGGUCGUCAACUAAUUCUUGAUACUUUGUAAUAGUAGUUUUAGUUUUUGAUUAGGGGUAAGUUGAGACCUUAUCCCCCGAUGCUCAUUUUGAUAACUAGCAUAUUGUAUGAUUUGAGACCGGAAGGAAUGUCUUGAAAAAUAGUUCAGGAUUAUACUAUUUAUAUGUUAGGAUGAGCGCAUACCUGUAAGCAAGUUCAGUUUUGUGAACUGGAGAGCUUUAAAAUUAUUUGACCUACAUCUUACGAUUUAACAAAAUGCUAAUUUGUUGCAUGUUUCAGUAUCAAUCGUAUUUAAAUGCAUGUAUUUUUUCAUGAACUAUAGUCAUCGACAUGAUCAUGAAAGUUGCAUGAUUUAUUUUAAAUUGGGUAGCUGAGUCCUGACCAUAUCCUUGAGUAAUAUUGAUGCAUUGUUAUGCAUAAACUGAGCUGGUAUCACUCGACUAGCAUUCCAGUAGUACACUCUGUAUCGGGAAAGGUAACUGAAGGGCACGUGGAUGAAAGAACUACACUGGAAUUGGAAAUUCUACUUGUUUAUUUCAUUGCAAGACAUGCCUAUAUACACAAACAAUAGUGAAUUCAAAAUAAAGAAUAAUGAAAAAUAUCCUAUAGACUUGUCUAAUUUCUAUUUGCUAUACUAUAACAAACUUUGUCCUAUCUAUAAUUGAAUCUUCCCAUCACUAUCUAAAUAUGCUUGUUGAUCAAGAUUGUCUUGAUCGUGUGGCUCUUGUGAUUUUGUCAACUUUGGAUGGUUGAGAUGAAACCAUUAUUUGGUGAUUUUCAUCGAGUGAAAAUUGAUGACAUCUUUGGUCGUAGUUGGAUAAUUCUUUGAGCCUAAUGUUUUAAAUGGCCCAAUGCCAUAUUUCGUCUCUUUCUUCUUUUUGGUCAUUCUCUUUGUAUUUCAAUUUCCUUUCUUCUUCAAGACAUUUGGUAAUUUGAUAAUUUCUACAUCCCCCCUUAAAUUGGAGAGGAAUGAAAUGAUGCCCAACUUGCGAAGAACACCAAAAUGUGUUGGUCUAGAUAACGAUUUGGUAAGCAAAUCGGCUAAUUGAUCUCGCGAAGGAAGGAAUAAAGAAGAUUAAGGGCCCAAGUAUUGUUGUCGGAUAAAAUGGCAAUCAAGCUCCACAUGUUUGGUUCGCUCAUGAAAGACGGGGUUGCCAGCAAUAUGAAUUGCAGCUUGACUAUCAGAGUGGAUCGGAACUGGAAGAGAUGGAGAAAUGGAGAGAUCUGCUAGCAAUCAUAAGUUCGGCUACCAAUCUUUCAUAGAUCGAUACUGCCUCUGCAGAUGAUAAUUAAAUUGAUGCUUGCUUUUUUAUUUCCAGGAAAUGGGGGGAACGCUAAACUAAUGAAAAAACCACCGAUCGAUCUUCGAGUGUCUUUGUAUGAAGCCCAAUCAGCAUCGCAAAAGGCAAUCAAAGAGAAUGAAGAAUUAGAAGACAUAAAUAGACCUUGUCUAGGAUUUUUCUCGUGUAUUGUAGAACUCUUAAAGCCGCAUUGAAAUGACCAACACAAGGUUCUUGCAUAUAUUGACUUAAAGUCAAUAUAACAAAAGAAAGAUCCUGCCUUUUGUGUGUGAGAUAGUUUAACUUACCUACUAAAUGUCUAUAAAAAGUAGGAUCAGUUAGUAGAGGUCUAGAACUGCCAAAAUAGUAGGAAGAUGAGAAACAUCAAACUCAUUAAGAAGGUCCAAUGUGUAUUUUCUUUGGCUGAGAAUAACACCUUGUGGUUCUCUAGGAAUUUCUAUCCCCAAUAAGUGAUGCAAGUGACGAAGAUUUUUGAUUUUGAA